RNAcentral lists this ribosomal RNA (253 nucleotides) under uncultured bacterium. RNAcentral describes it as "partial 16S ribosomal RNA". It matches the Rfam family "Bacterial small subunit ribosomal RNA", at positions 524 to 776 of the family's 1533-position model. The record is from RNAcentral.
UACGUAGGGUGCAAGCGUUACCCGGAUUUAUUGGGCGUAAAGAGUGCGUAUGCGGUUUUGAAAGUCAUUAUUGAAAUCUUGGGGCUCAACCCCAAGCCUGGUAGUGAUACUUCAAGACUAGAUUACUUGAGGGGGUACCGGAACAGUUGGUGGAGCAGUGAAAUGCGUUGAGAUCAACUGGAACACCAAAGGCGAAGGCAGGUACCUGGAAAGUCAAUGACGCUGUUGCACGAAAGCGUGGGGAGCAAAACGG